GCUACAGGCUUAACACAUGCAAGUCGAGGGGCAGCAUGGUCUUAGCUUGCUAAGGCCGAUGGCGACCGGCGCACGGGUGAAUAACACGUAUCCAACCUGCCGUCUACUCUUGGACAGCCUUCUGAAAGGAAGAUUAAUACAAGAUGGCAUCAUGAGUCCGCAUGUUCACAUGAUUAAAGGUAUUCCGGUAGACGAUGGGGAUGCGUUCCAUUAGAUAGUAGGCGGGGUAACGGCCCACCUAGUCUUCGAUGGAUAGGGGUUCUGAGAGGAAGGUCCCCCACAUUGGAACUGAGACACGGUCCAAACUCCUACGGGAGGCAGCAGUGAGGAAUAUUGGUCAAUGGGCGAGAGCCUGAACCAGCCAAGUAGCGUGAAGGAUGACUGCCCUAUGGGUUGUAAACUUCUUUUAUAAAGGAAUAAAGUCGGGUAUGCAUACCCGUUUGCAUGUACUUUAUGAAUAAGGAUCGGCUAACUCCGUGCCAGCAGCCGCGGUAAUACGGAGGAUCCGAGCGUUAUCCGGAUUUAUUGGGUUUAAAGGGAGCGUAGAUGGAUGUUUAAGUCAGUUGUGAAAGUUUGCGGCUCAACCGUAAAAUUGCAGUUGAUACUGGAUAUCUUGAGUGCAGUUGAGGCAGGCGGAAUUCGUGGUGUAGCGGUGAAAUGCUUAGAUAUCACGAAGAACUCCGAUUGCGAAGGCAGCCUGCUAAGCUGCAACUGACAUUGAGGCUCGAAAGUGUGGGUAUCAAACAGGAUUAGAUACCCUGGUAGUCCACACGGUAAACGAUGAAUACUCGCUGUUUGCGAUAUACGGCAAGCGGCCAAGCGAAAGCGUUAAGUAUUCCACCUGGGGAGUACGCCGGCAACGGUGAAACUCAAAGGAAUUGACGGGGGCCCGCACAAGCGGAGGAACAUGUGGUUUAAUUCGAUGAUACGCGAGGAACCUUACCCGGGCUUAAAUUGCAGAUGAAUUACGGUGAAAGCCGUAAGCCGCAAGGCAUCUGUGAAGGUGCUGCAUGGUUGUCGUCAGCUCGUGCCGUGAGGUGUCGGCUUAAGUGCCAUAACGAGCGCAACCCUUGUUGUCAGUUACUAACAGGUUCCGCUGAGGACUCUGACAAGACUGCCAUCGUAAGAUGUGAGGAAGGUGGGGAUGACGUCAAAUCAGCACGGCCCUUACGUCCGGGGCUACACACGUGUUACAAUGGGGGGUACAGAGGGCCGCUACCACGCGAGUGGAUGCCAAUCCCAAAAACCUCUCUCAGUUCGGACUGGAGUCUGCAACCCGACUCCACGGAGCUGGAUUCGCUAGUAAUCGCGCAUCAGCCACGGCGCGGUGAAUACGUUCCCGGGCCUUGUACACACCGCCCGUCAAGCCAUGGGAGCCGGGGGUACCUGAAGUGCGUAACCGCGAGGAGCGCCCUAGGGUAAAACUGGUGACUGGGGCU
Molecule: ribosomal RNA, 1439 nt
Filed under: uncultured organism
Description: SSU rRNA
Rfam family: Bacterial small subunit ribosomal RNA
Source: RNAcentral